CCCUUAGAUGUUCUGGGCAGCACGCGCGCUACAAUGGUCUUCGCAAACGGAUGCAUUCUCGAAGGAGAAUGCCAAUCUUGGAAUCUAUGCCUUGGUCGGGACAGUUGCUUGCAAUUUUUCGACUCGAACCAGGGAUUCCUUGUAAUCGUGAUUCAUCACAUCACGAUGAAUACGUCCCUGCCCUUUGUACACACCGCCCGUCGCUCCCACCGAUCGAAGAGUUAGGUGAAUUGUUUUGAUCGAUAAGAUUUGACUAUGGUCAACUCUCGUUGUGAAAUUCUGUGAAUCUGACUGUUUAGAGGAAGGAAAAGUCGUAACA
This 319-nucleotide ribosomal RNA is filed under the name uncultured eukaryote. RNAcentral describes it as "partial 18S ribosomal RNA". It matches the Rfam family "Eukaryotic small subunit ribosomal RNA", at positions 1470 to 1796 of the family's 1831-position model. The record is from RNAcentral.